This is an RNA transcript of Mytilus californianus (California mussel), 1278 nucleotides long. It is a transcript of the gene named barrier-to-autointegration factor B-like, with no coding region annotated. The record is from RefSeq and is a predicted model, not a curated record. The transcript is spliced from 4 exons. NCBI's taxonomy places the organism in Eukaryota, Metazoa, Mollusca, Bivalvia, Mytilida, Mytilidae.
UGUAACCGUAGUAACAGGAUAGACAUAACAGAAUAGACAAAUUUCUUCAACUAUGAAUGCUGUUGUGAAAGAACUACUCAUUCUGAUGCAGUGAUAAGGUUUCUCUGUUGUGAUUUGGGUUUUCAUCACGUUAUUGCACUUUUUACAAGUAUAAUAUUGUUGGAAUUAAUAAAUUUGUUGGUAACAGCAUAGACGUGAGAUAAGGGUAACCACUAAUGAUUUUCAUAAAAUGUCUUAAAUUUUCUUUUCUCUAGACUGUUAGAAACGUGGUGCGUUAACUUUUUAGGACCCUUCGUAGUUUUGAAAUCAUCGAUGAAUAGUUCUAUAUUCAUAAAGGGGGGGGAUUUAACUGUUGAUCUAGUGUCGGUAACAGGAUGUACGCUGAGUUUAUAAAGAACACAUGUUACAUAUACUAAUAAAGAAGCUGUGAUUUUUAGUUAGAGUUAUCUUUUAUACUCCAAAAUAAUCCGUUGCAGAUAUCAAUGCAAACAGAAAAUAGGAAAAAAAUCAUUUGUAAUGUGUUACCCUGACACUGUACGCACAUAAAUUACGCAAAAAUCGGACUUAAAUAUAUUUUAAUCUGAUCAAAAUAGAUAUAAUAAAUCGUAUUCAUUAUUGAUUUUCCGACUCAUAAAUCCUGUUAACCUAUAUCUAAACACUUACAUCUGCAUUUGUCCAUGAAAAAUUAAAAAAAAAAAAACAUAUAAAAGAAGGUGUACUGAAAAUUCAACAUUUUUUUAAAACGUCCCAAAUACGUAUGUGACCCAUCAUGCAUGGUACAGGUAGAAAAAUACCUGGAACAGUCGCAUUUUAUCAUAUUGGACUUUCAAUUUGAUAGACCAAAACUACAAAAUUAAGUACAGAAAAGGAUAGUGAAACUGCAAUUUUCUUGUAGAAUUUGCGCAUAUCAGUCAGAUCUUCAAUAUUUCCACGACAAUGGCGACACCAUCAGCAAAACAUGCAACUUUUACAAGUAAAUCUAUUAAAGGUGUUGGAGUUGAAGAUGUACCAGGAAUCGGUGAUAAAUCAAAAGAAAGACUCAGUAAAGAGGAAAUCACUAAAGCACAACAGCUUUUGGGCCAUUUCCUAAUACGUAAUAUGGACAAAGAAAAGUGCAAAAACUUUCUUCAGAAAUUCGGAAUGAACGAAAAGCAACAGACUGAUGCAUUCAACGCUUUAAAUGAGUGGGCCGAACAGCAUCUUUAGAAACGAAAAGUAUAGACAUAUCACAAACCAUUUAAUUUUCUUAUCAUUCACCAAUAAAUAGAUAAAUGUUUA